This 1084-nucleotide long non-coding RNA is filed under the name Cicer arietinum (chickpea). RNAcentral describes it as "long non-coding RNA (CARI_LNC002525)". The record is from RNAcentral. Lineage: Eukaryota; Viridiplantae; Streptophyta; Magnoliopsida; Fabales; Fabaceae.
AAUAGCAAUAGGAAAACAUUUUCAGCACCCCAAAAGCAAUGGUAAGAAAAGGAAACAUGUAAAAGGAAUUGAAAGGAAGAUUAACCAAUUAACAUAAUUCAAUUCCAAGACAGUAUUCAGGGUAACCAUUAAUACUGGAAUUAGAACUCCUUUUAUAAAUCCUUUUGUUAACCAUAGAGCUCUUGCUAUUGCUGUUUGCCUACAAUUGGAACCCUUGGAUCUGAUAUAAAAUACAUCAUGAACAUAUACCAAAGAGACAAUUGAGCAUACAAGGGUAAAAUAAAACAAAAUACAAAAGCUAACAAAAAAAAGCAUUGAAAACAAACUGAAUAUGCAUAUGAAAUUUAAGUGACAGAAUUUGCAACUUUAGAUUGAUUGUCACAGAAGACCACAAUUCCAAUUGCAAAACACCUAUAUAAUAAAAUUUGUUAACAAUAACAAACAUCAUGACUUCACAACUUGCACAUAUCCCUUCUUCCACACGCUAUGUGGUCUGUGCAAAUUUCAAUUUUUAAUUGUUAGGGUCACAUUAUCCAUUUUACUGCCUUCCUCAAUUGGCACACUGUCUUGUCCUCUGUUUCUUAGAUAGUUCAAUUUUUUCAUCAAUAAGAAAAAAAGUGUCAAAGUAUCCUAAUAGAAAGUUCAUGAUCAACCCCUUCAAAGUUCAAACAAUUAUUCAAUCUGAUAACCAAAUAAAGUAAUGUGAUUCCACAGCAUAUUACUAAAAUAAUGUGGUUUGAAAAUGUACGUGGUCUGUGCAAAUUUCAAUUUUUAAUUGUUAGGGUCACAUUAUCCAUUCUACUACCUUCCUCAAUUGGCACACUGUCUUGUCCUCUGUUUCUUAGAUAGUUCAAUUUUUUCAUCAAUAAGAAAAAAAGUGUCAAAAGUAUCCUAAUAGAAAGUUCAUGAUCAACCCCUUCAAAGUUCAAACAAUUAUUCAAUCUGAUAACCAAAUAAAGUAAUGUGAUUCCACAGCAUAUUACUAAAAUAAUGUGGUUUGAAAAUGAGCUCAAAAGAGUACGAAAGUUUGGAGCUUAGACAAUUAAAAGCUAAGCAUUUAACUUAUAGCCCAAGCCUACUACUA